Long non-coding RNA from Bicyclus anynana (squinting bush brown), 793 nucleotides. RefSeq lists it as uncharacterized. The record is from RefSeq and is a predicted model, not a curated record. NCBI's taxonomy places the organism in Eukaryota, Metazoa, Arthropoda, Insecta, Lepidoptera, Nymphalidae. The transcript is spliced from 4 exons.
GCCAUCAUAGUAGUGUCAGCUAAAUACGAAAAUUAUCUCGGGGUUUCAUUCCUAACGCUCCCCGUAUUUGUGAUUGUCACAGCUUCUAUUUUACUAUGUACAGCCUUGGUCGGAUGGUUUGCUGUGAAAUCGGAAAAAUGUGAUGCCUUUUCAGCGUAUCUCGGAUUACUUGUAGCGGUAUUAAUAUUCGAAAUAUUGAUAGCCGUUCUCGCUUUUGAACUGAAUGAUGAUAUUUACAGAGGAAAAAUAAUUAAUCAUAAUAUGUUUGAUAGUAGGCUGCGUUAUAAUACAUCGGAAAAUCCAAAUCGUUUUAAUUAUUAUUAUAACGAUUAUGAUUAUUAUAAUUACGGCGUUGCGGGCUGGGACAUUCUGCAAAGUGAGUUACAAUGCUGUGGCUACAACGACGUGAAUGACUGGAAAGUCGAGAUACCGCUCAGCUGCUGCCCGAUGACCUGGAGGGGUCAGACCUUCAACUGCACGCUGGAGAAUGCAUACACGAGCGGGUGCAGCUGGAAGCUGAGCUGGAUGUUGGCGGAUUAUAUCUUUGUACUCGGAAUCACAGCCUCCACUGUCACUGGGCUACAGGGUAUAAUCAUAUGUAUUGCGAUUUGGAUUGCUUAUAAAUUGAAAAACCGCGAGGAAGCCUCUUAUAAAAGCCUAUUAGAGGGUACAGAUCAUUCACAAUACAAUUUUCUUCCAGGGGAAACUAUGUAGUACUAUAUAACUAACGUUGGUAAUAUAAUACCUAAUAAUAAUUAAAAAAUUGUUUGUACUCUUAAAAAUAUUUGUGUAU